Oryza brachyantha (malo sina) is the source of this 1502-nucleotide long non-coding RNA. RefSeq lists it as uncharacterized. The transcript is spliced from 6 exons. The record is from RefSeq and is a predicted model, not a curated record. Lineage: Eukaryota; Viridiplantae; Streptophyta; Magnoliopsida; Poales; Poaceae.
GCAGUUCAUGCACCUGAUGCAGCAGACAGCAUGAGUCGUGGAGAUUUUGUUGUUGGCAUGCAUAAUAGUUGACAACUUUUCAAAUGAGGGUUUUUGCAGCAUGUGGAAUUGCUAAAUGCUAACUUAGUAUGCACAGCAGUUGUGCACUACGUUAUGUUAUGAAGCUGGAACGGCUCAUUUUCUACCAUGUAAUAUUGUUCUGUACUACUGCAAUGAAAUUUGCUGCUCUCCUGUUAUUUGUGAAAAAAAAAGGGAAAUAACUGGGACAACCUGCUUUUCUCGUUGACGGUUGCAAAAUGCAAAAGGGUCGACACCUUUCAGGCCUCUAAUGCUUCUUGGUCCCUCUAUCUCCAACAAGGAAGAGAGAUUUCUAUGAGGGCCAAAUAAAUCAGUAGCCAUCCCUGAAACAAUCAGAAUGAAAGAUCAUAACCUAAUUGUCUACAAGAGUAUGAAGGAAAGCGAUUGACGACUGUUACUGACUGAAAACAAAAUCUCAGCAAACCAAAGGGGAAUUCAUAUGAUGAUUCACUUACCUGAAAGCGUGCAACUCAUGUUCCAGGUCUUCCAGCUGCUUGCCGUGCAUUUUCUCUCCUUCGGUUACAGGUGACGAACAUUUGGAACCUCCAUAUAUUUGCAAGGACACGAAUUGGACGAAGCUUUGACAAAUCUCUCCUCAGCACCCAUGACUCAUUUCACUUCUCAGCAGUAAAGGCCCUAGCUAUGAGAGAGUUCUGAGGAAGGCAGUUUGAAGUUGGAUGUAGCAGCCAGGUGCUCUUUCUCAUACUUAUGAAGCAAACAACAUCCCUUUUUAGAAACAGCAGGAGCCAACCGAAAGAUAAGAAAAAGGUAGUAAACUAGUAAUGCUGAAAAGGUCGACAGGCUGUGUGUGGCUAAGCGGAAUGCUAGGGCACGAAAGAAAAAGUUCAGAAGCUGAGAUCGUUGGCAGGAGGUGAAGUAUUUGUUUAACGGUCUCAAGGAAGGAUCAGGGAAGUGUAGCAGCCAAUCGGAGAGGCAAAUCUGGCUGGUUUAAUGAAACAAGACAAGGCCAACCUAAAAACAUGUGAAGCAGAUAUUCCACGCAGGCCUUGCCGGGACAAAAGAUAUCAAAGGUUUGGGCUAGUUUGCAGCAGAGAUCUGAAGAUACCAUGGGCCCACGACAAUGAGUUAUCCUAGGCUGUCCUUCACCGUCGUCACAAUCCCAACUCUGGAUCUUGCCCACAGCCGCCUCAGAAAAGUUGUUUCUGUACUGCUGCUUCAGCAUGUUCCACCCUGCAUGCCUUACCAAGAUUCAUGGACGUCUGGAUCUCAGAUUAAGCUCUUGUUAACUCCUUAAUCACACCGACACGGUUGGAGAAUCUACAUUUUUUCUUUUUCCAGCAGCUGUGUUGAAUACUUGAAUGUUGAUGUGUUCUCCUCCAUAUGUUAUGCUCAUCCGAUGACAACCAAAUAUCUAACUGGGAAAGGAAAUUCGCUACGUCAUGGACAUCCACGUACCACUCAAA